GAUGAACGCUGGCGGCGUGCCUAACACAUGCAAGUCGAACGGGGUUUACCCGCUGACGAGACUUCGGUCAAAUCUUGGGUGAACUUAGUGGCGGACGGGUGAGUAACGCGUGGGCAACCUGCCUCACACUGGGGGAUAGCAGCUGGAAACGGCUGGUAAUACCGCAUAAGCGCACGGUACUGCAUGGUACAGUGUGAAAAACUCCGGUGGUGUGAGAUGGGCCCGCGUCCGAUUAGCCAGUUGGCGGGGUAACGGCCCACCAAAGCGACGAUCGGUAGCCGGCCUGAGAGGGCGGACGGCCACAUUGGGACUGAGACACGGCCCAGACUCC
Molecule: ribosomal RNA, 331 nt
Filed under: uncultured Butyrivibrio sp.
Lineage: Bacteria; Bacillati; Bacillota; Clostridia; Lachnospirales; Lachnospiraceae
Description: bacterial SSU rRNA
Rfam family: Bacterial small subunit ribosomal RNA
Source: RNAcentral